GAUGAAGAACGCAGCGAAAUGCGAUAAGUAAUGCGAAUUGCAGAAUUUCCGUGAGUCAUCGAAUCUUUGAACGCACAUUGCGCCCACUGGUAUUCCGGUGGGCAUGCCUGUUCGAGCGUCAUUAUCCUCCCUCAAACCCCGGGUUUGGUGUUGGACCCAAGUUGUGUGAACAACUGGUCUCAAGGACAAUGACGGCGUCCGUGGGACCCUCGGUGCAACGAGCUUUUAGGAGCACGCAUCGAGUUGCAAGGACCUUCCGGGCCGGUCUCCUUUACCAUUUUACAAGGUUGACCUCGGAUCAGGUAGGAAUACCCGCUGAACUUAAGCAUAUCAAUAAGCGGAGGA
RNAcentral lists this unclassified non-coding RNA (345 nucleotides) under soil metagenome. RNAcentral describes it as "partial contains 5.8S ribosomal RNA, internal transcribed spacer 2, and large subunit ribosomal RNA". The stretch from base 1 to 121 matches the Rfam family "5.8S ribosomal RNA", at positions 35 to 154 of the family's 154-position model. The record is from RNAcentral.